RNAcentral lists this unclassified non-coding RNA (167 nucleotides) under uncultured fungus. RNAcentral describes it as "sequence contains ITS1, 5.8S rRNA gene". The record is from RNAcentral. Lineage: Eukaryota; Fungi.
CUGAAAGUCAUGCGCUUAACUGCGCUGACAACAUACACACAGUGGAGAUAUAUUCUUUCUUCUUCUUCUUCUUUGGGGGACGGCGGUUUGCGCUGCUGCUCCCAGAGUGAAAAAACACAAACAACUUUUGUAUUAUUACAGAUGUCAAAACACAAAACAAAAUACCA